RNAcentral lists this ribosomal RNA (253 nucleotides) under uncultured bacterium. RNAcentral describes it as "partial 16S ribosomal RNA". It matches the Rfam family "Bacterial small subunit ribosomal RNA", at positions 524 to 776 of the family's 1533-position model. The record is from RNAcentral.
UACGUAGGGCGCAAGCGUUGUCCGGAUUCACUGGGUGUAAAGGGUGCGUAGGCGGGAAGGUAAGUCCGCGGUGAAAUCUCACAGCUCAACUGUGAAACUGCCGUUGAUACUGCUUUUCUUGAGUUCGGGAGAGGUUGAUGGAAUUCCAGGUGUAGCGGUGAAAUGCGUAGAUAUCUGGAAGAACACCAGUGGCGAAGGCGGUCAACUGGCCCGUAACUGACGCUGAGGCACGAAAGCGUGGGUAGCGAACAGG